This 134-nucleotide transfer RNA is filed under the name Verticillium dahliae. RNAcentral's name for it is "tRNA-Gly". It matches the Rfam family "tRNA". From Rfam's summary of the family: Transfer RNA (tRNA) molecules are approximately 80 nucleotides in length. The record is from RNAcentral. RNAcentral also lists the same sequence under 3 other names. Lineage: Eukaryota; Fungi; Ascomycota; Sordariomycetes; Glomerellales; Plectosphaerellaceae.
GCGUCACUGGAGUAGUGGUUAACUCGUUGCCCUCCCACAGUAGAGAGGCAGAAAGUGAGUCUUGCAUCCCAAAAUGUUGAAUGAUUCACCGCUGACCAAAAUGAACAGCACUGGUUCGAACCCGGUGUGACGCA